AACAACAUAUGAAAGAAACACUGCCAGAAAUAUUUUCUUAUGAUAACCUUGAAUAUUAUUAAAGUAUCUAAAUAUAGAAGAUGAAACUGAGUUGGAAAUUUCUACCAAAUCCAUACAGGAAGGACUUCACAAGACUAUGGCUGUAGGAUGAAUAGACAUAUAAUGAAAUUUGAAUGUUGACUGGAGUGAAACUAAAAUGUUGAAGAAAGAAUAAGUUAUUCUUUCCAACUCAGUAAAACAGCUAGACUGGGGCCCGCCCUCUGUGCUCAGUGGUGUUCUUGGCUGACAGAGAAUGUAAAGUUACUGGAAGGAACAAAUGAAAACAAACAAACAAGUGAAGAAGAAAAAAGAAAAGGAACAUGUGAUUUUCCACGAAUGUCACUCAGUUGGUUUGGGUUGUUUUGUUUUUGUUUCUGCCCACAUGAUGGAGCGGCAUCUGCCUGGGGUGAUCAGAAGGGGUUGGACUGUAAGACUUCAGAUGAUAGGUAGGAUUUUAAUAGCUUAAAAGGGUAUUAGGAAAAUGAUAUGUUGUAGAGAAAGAGUUUAAACCGGCCAGAGGUACGGCAUAGGCAUGAAAGCAUGAGCCACAGUCAAGGUAGGGCAAAUGAUCGGAUUGCAUGCGGGCAGGAGAGAGAGCAGUACAAGGCAAUGAAAAUGUA
This is a long non-coding RNA of Canis lupus familiaris (dog), 659 nucleotides long. RefSeq lists it as uncharacterized. The transcript is spliced from 3 exons. Lineage: Eukaryota; Metazoa; Chordata; Mammalia; Carnivora; Canidae. The record is from RefSeq and is a predicted model, not a curated record.